This 253-nucleotide ribosomal RNA is filed under the name uncultured bacterium. Its description in RNAcentral is "partial 16S ribosomal RNA". It matches the Rfam family "Bacterial small subunit ribosomal RNA", at positions 524 to 776 of the family's 1533-position model. The record is from RNAcentral.
UACAGAGGGGGCAAGCGUUGUUCGGAAUUACUGGGCGUAAAGGGCGCGUAGGCGGCCUGUUAAGUCGAACGUGAAAUCCCCGGGCUCAACCCGGGAACUGCGUCCGAAACUGGCAGGCUCGAAUCCGGGAGAGGGAUGCGGAAUUCCAGGUGUAGCGGUGAAAUGCGUAGAUAUCUGGAGGAACAUCGGUGGCGAAGGCGGCAUUCUGGACCGGUAUUGACGCUGAGGCGCGAAAGCCAGGGGAGCAAACGGG